RNAcentral lists this ribosomal RNA (1827 nucleotides) under Triticum aestivum (bread wheat). Its description in RNAcentral is "partial small subunit ribosomal RNA". The record is from RNAcentral. Lineage: Eukaryota; Viridiplantae; Streptophyta; Magnoliopsida; Poales; Poaceae.
AUGGCUUCCCACCCGUCGCCGCCGCCGGCACACCCCAUACCACCCGCUCCCACCACCAUAAGUGACCUCGACGACUACCUGCUCCGAGAGAUCUUCCUCCGCCUCCUGAACUUCCCCAGCCUCGCCUCUGCCGCCCUCACCUGCUCCGGCUUCCUCGGCGCCGUCCGUUCGUCCCGCGCCUUCCGCCGCCGCUUCCGCGCGCUCCACGCACCCCCGCUCCUCCCUCGCUUCCUCGCAUACACAAUAAUGGCCUUCCCCACCUCACGACGGCCCUUCGCCGGAUUCACCCACCUCGUAGACGACGACGAUUCUGACUGGCGGGUCGAUUUCUCCAAUCCUUCGGCCUACAAUGGCGGCUGCAUGGCCAUCAAACACCCGAUCAUCAAGCAGGGAGUUUGGUACAACCCCCAAACGAUGGCUCUGUUUCUCCGCCCCAAGGAGCACCAUGACAUGCCCGACGGCACCUCCCUUGGGUUCCACACAUUCUGCUCCCAAGAGGAUCAGAGGCCGUCCCGUGUGGUAUGUGUCCGUCAAGACUACUCAUGGGAUAGGCUACGCAUCGCUGUCUUCUCAUCGGACACCAUGGAGUGGCAGAUUUUUCCGGAGAUUGCGACGCUGCUGCCUCAGGGCUUCAGGCGCACAGCCUGCACCGUGCUAGAUGGGUUUAUCUGUUGGCAAACCGAGUCCAUCAUGGGGGUGUAUGUCAGCGAGUACGUUUUCGUGCUCAAAACAGAUACAUUUCAGUUCUCUCGAAUGGAUCUGCCGCCGCCCUUGAGAGUGGUACACCAAAAAUUUAAGAUUGGUCAGACCACUGAUGGAAAGCUCUGUAUCGUAGAUGAGAAGGAAUGCACACUUUCUGUUUGGAUCUUGACAGCGGACGAUGAUGGCGUUGACAGAUUUGUGCUGCACAAGAUGUUCCCGUUGCACUCUAGCUUUAUGGAGGUCACCAGCUGCUCAGUGGAAGAUACAAUCUCAGUGCGGCUUAUGACGGUUUUCAAUGGUUUUGUGUACUUUGAUCAGUUCAAAUCCCCUGAGUGGUUCCUGUCCUUGUCUCUGGAAACAGCAGAGCUGAAGCAGCAUCUGAAGAAUAGAAAGCGACCUAGCUUCCACGUCCAUCCCUACUCGGCCUGGCCUCCUUCUAUGGAAUACAUCUCGAGCUGCUCCUCCGUGCUUGCUGCUGCCGGCGGCGAGGGCAAGUAUGAGCAAGAGCAGAAACGUGGCCAUGGCGAAUCGAUCGACGAGAAGGAAUGCACACUUUCUGUUUGGAUCUUGACAACGGACGAUGAUGGCGUUGACAGAUUUGUGCUGCACAAGAUGUUCCCGUUGCACUCUAGCUUUAUGGAGGUCACCAGCUGCUCAGUGGAAGAUACAAUCUCAGUGCGGCUUAUGACGGUUUUCAAUGGUUUUGUGUACUUUGAUCAGUUCAAAUCCCCUGAGUGGUUCCUGUCCUUGUCUCUGGAAACAGCAGAGCUGAAGCAGCAUCUGAAGAAUAGAAAGCGACCUAGCUUCCACGUCCAUCCCUACUCGGCCUGGCCUCCUUCUAUGGAAUACAUCUCGGAGGAUUCAAAAUCUGAGGUUACUGGAAAAGGUGUUGAUUAUGUCGGUCUUGAGAGUACAGAAAAGGAUUCAUCUGUCCUUAUAAAAGCAUUACGAUCAUAUAAAGAAGCUUUGAUUAAGGAUGGUGACGCAAAUGUUGCAGAGAUAGAGGCCUUCUCACUUUGUAUUGACGCUGAGGAUGAGAAGAACUCUCUUGUGAGGAAACUCAUUGGUUUAGAUGAACUGUUAAUAACUGUGAGAGAUCGUCUUGAGGGCAAGGGCAGACUCUGA